UACGGAGGAGGCAAGCGUUAUCCGGAAUUAUUGGGCGUAAAGCGUCCGUAGGUGGUUGACCAAGUCUGCUGUCAAAGGGUGGGGCUUAACCUCAUAAAGGCAGUGGAAACUGGUGAGCUAGAGUGCGGUAGGGGUAAGGGGAAUUCCCAGUGUAGCGGUGAAAUGCGUAGAGAUUGGGAAGAACAUCGGUGGCGAAAGCGCCUUGCUGGGCCUGCACUGACACUGAGGGACGAAAGCGUGGGGAGCAAACAGG
Molecule: ribosomal RNA, 253 nt
Filed under: uncultured bacterium
Lineage: Bacteria
Description: partial 16S ribosomal RNA
Rfam family: Bacterial small subunit ribosomal RNA
Source: RNAcentral